This 3773-nucleotide long non-coding RNA is filed under the name Sus scrofa (pig). RNAcentral's name for it is "lncRNA (ENSSSCG00055027725.1)". The record is from RNAcentral. Lineage: Eukaryota; Metazoa; Chordata; Mammalia; Artiodactyla; Suidae.
AAAAAGGAGGAGUGCUUUAAGGCUUAAAGAGGCAGCCCGAGCAUAGGCAGCACUAGAUUUGAAGCUGGAACUUCUGACUCUCAGACCUGACUUUGCCACUAAUGGGCUGUGUGAACUUGGGCAAGCCCCUUGGCAUCUCUGGAUCUCAGAAAGUGAUUUUAACUGGAGGAUAGGCAACUCCCUGGAACUAUAUGCAAAAUCAAGUGCAAGUGUAUUUUUCUAGGGUGGAAGACUGUAUUCGGUGGCUUUUUAAAGAAGCGUGGAACCAGGGACAGGUUAAAAGCAACAGAUGGUCUCUCAGGGCACUUUAAUAAGCAAAAAGGAGGCAACUUCGUGCCUGAGAAAGCCAGGAGGGUACGUUUGCUGGUGCCCUUUACGCUAUGAAGCUUAUUCGGCAGAGGCAGCUCCCUGAAUGACCGAUAGAUGGCGCUAAACCUUCACUGUAACCUGCCUGUUCCUGAGACCUGCCUGGUAGAUCCAUGCUUCUAUUUACUCAGCUUUGGGGACCUUGGGAACCUCAGGAGCUUGGGUCCACACUAUGUGGGUAAGAAUUGAGUGGGAUGAGAGUACUGGGCUACCCCGACACUAUUUGUAUCCUCUGAUUGCCACUCUGUCUUGCGGCAUCUGUUCCCAGAGGCAUCAAAAAGGAUGGGGGAGGGGGGCAGGGGUGUGUGUCUCCAGCCACGGAGAGGACCAGCUGAAAAAUAACGAGCCCUAAGUUUGCUGUUCACAUCUCCUGCACCCUCAACCAAGAUCUGCAUCUUGAAAGCAAUGGCAGGGAGAUGCCAGUGUUUACCAGAGAACUGAUGAAGUGAGCUGGGUCACCUGAAAUGUUUUUAAAGCAAAGUUCCACUAAACUAAACUGCUUUGGCCACCAGUGUGAGAACUCCGAGCAAGAAAAUGGAUUUCAGAACUGGACUGGAGAGUCAUUGAGCCUCUAAGGUCUAACUGUUACAGCGGCUGGCACAAUCCUAACUAAGCAGUGGCCAGAGCAGUUGGGACCAAGAACCAGCAGGACUUGGUGAUGAAUUGACUGUUGUGGAUGAGCAAGCAGGAGGUCAGGAAUCACUUCUAUGUUUUAACCUGAACAACUGUGGAGAUGAAGUUGAUGCUGCCUGAGCUGGAGAAGAUGGAAAAGAGUUUUUAUUUUUGCUUCCUUCCCUUUCUUGGUGAGAGUAAAGAGUUAGAACACAAUGUUUGCAACGUCUGGGAGUCAUCUGAAUGGAGAUGUUAAGUAGAAACUUAGAGAAAAGGAUUCGGAAAAGGUCUGAGCUGGUGACGUAGUUUGGAAGUUGUUGUCUUGUAGACCGUGUUUGAAGUGCACAGUGGGUCCUCCAACAUUCUCUGAAUCAGAACAUGAAUCACUUCUUCUUCACUUCCACUCAGUGUUUGGAAGGCGGGGAGUGCAAAUCAUCCAAAAGUGAUUAAUGACCUCCACCCCAUCCCCUCCCCAGCUCGACGGCAAGCCAAAGAAUCACCGGUUCCUUGCUCUGCUUUCCUAUGCUCAUUGAAGAGUCUCUCUGAGCUCAGAGAAGCUUGAGAAUCAAGCUAUUCAAAGGCUGAAUGAAGGUGAUUCUGAUGAUGCUUAUAACUGCCUUCCUGCUGUGUUGGGUAAAACACUCAUCUUUGAUGCAAUGAAAACCACUUGAAUCUCUGCCUUUUAUUCCCUCAAGCGGCUUCACCUAAUGGGCUGGGGUAUGAAAACAGUGUGAAAAAGCAAGGCUAGGCUUCACCUGCCUCUGGAUGAGGCCAUUUGUCUCUCUCCCUACGGGAUUUUUACUCCAAGAAGUUCUAGAGGGGCAGCUGCAGAGAGAGGGGCUUCUGGGCAGAUGUCAGCUUGGCUAGAAAGAGACCCUUAGAAAAGGUGACAUUUUUACCCGAUGGCCUAUAAUCCCAGGGUAGCAAAAUCAAAUACUGUCACCCUUCGAUAUCCAUGGGGGAUCAGUACUAGGAUCCCCCAGUGAUAACCCAAUCUACAGAUGCUCAAGUCCCUUAUAUAAAAAUGUGUAGGACAGUCAGCCCUUGGUAUCUGCAGGUUCUACAUCCAAGGAUCCCACUAACUGUGGAUGGAAAAAUGCAGAACUGGUGAAUACACAGGAGUGGGACCAGUGGUUGGUUAAACCUGUGGAUGCAGAACUAGACAGAGGGCUGACUGGACCUGCAGGAACCAGCUAGUUAAUGACUCAAAGAAAUGGGUCACAUGGGGACUUGGAAAGCACAGGUCCUGUUGAAAAGGGUGGGCUCAGUGUGGUUCCAGCUGAUUGUUGCCACAUGAAACACAAAUCCAGGAUCACUGGGUCUUCUGGCUUUUCAAGAGAAGCUUCAAAUACAGAUUUUAUACAAAAUCUGAGUUUUAUAUGCUGAAAUUAAUUACAUUUAAACACUGCUCUGUGGGCCAAAGAACACAUACAUGUAUACAUAUGAUGCCUGGGCUUGAGACCAGCUUGAAACCCUCAGGGACUGUGGGAUGGACGUGUGCCUCUUUCCUAAGUAACUGCUCAAGGGGGGAAAUACGUAAUCAUUUUGGAAUUGUCAUUGAACCAGCACGAGCUCAUUGACUCAGCUUCAUGAACCGUGAACCAUAAUUCGUGGUUCUUUUUAUCCCGUCUUUGGUGAGGUAAGCCUUUCAGGUUUUCACCAGGUGAGAAAGAAAGUAAAGAUAAGUGGUGACGGGGAGCAAACUAGACAUUGAGUGGGAGGGCUGUGUGUGUCUUGCUCAGGGCAGAAUCCUUGGGACUGAGCAGGUGCUUAAAAAUAUUGUUGAAGAAAGUAAUGCAGGGAAGGGAAUGGGUGAAUAAAAGCAGAAACAACCACAGAAUCAGGCUUGCAGGUUUCAGAGUGUGGCCUGAUUGUGGCCCAAGCCCCAUAGCUUAGUUCUCCUACUUUUACAUUCUCCUCUAAAGAGGAUGCCCCUAAGAUACUGGUGAAAAGUAUGAUGGUUCUUCCCCUCCUCCCAUCCCUAUUUUUGAAGAUAAUCAGGGAAUCCAGAAGAUAUAUUUGGCUGUCAUUAAAAAGUCUACAAAUAACAAAAGCUGGAGAAGGUGUGGAGAAAAGGGAACCCUCCCUACACUGCUGGAGGGAAUGUAUGUUAGGGCAGCUCUUAUGGAAAACAGUAUGGAGCUUCCUCAGAAAACUAAAUAUAGAACUAUCAUAGGAUCCAGCCAUCCCACUCCUGGGUGUAUAUCUGGACAAAACAACGAUUCAAAGUGAUACAUGCACCUCUAUGUUCAUAGCAGCACUAUUCACAGUAGUCAAGACUUGGAAACAACCUAAAUGUCCACUGAUAGAUGAAUGAAUGAAGAAGAUGUGGUACAGAUACACAAUGGAAUACUACUCAGCCAUAAAAAAGAACAAAAUAAUGCCAUUUGCAGCAACAUGGAUGCAAUUAGAGAUUAUCACACUAAGUAAGAAAGAGAAAGACAAAUGCCACAUGAUAGUACGGAAAAGUGGAAUGAAAAAUAAAUGAACCUAUCUACCUAACAGAAACAGACUCACAGACCUAGAGAACACACUUAUGGUUGCCAAGGGGGAGGAAGGAGGGAAGGAGAUGGACUGGGAGUUUGGGGUUAGUAGAUGCAAACUAUUCCAUUUAGAAUGGAUAAGCAAUGAGGUCCUACUUGUAGCACAGGGAACUAUAUCCAAUCCCCUGGGAUAGACCAUGAUGGAAAAGAAUAUAAAAAAGAAUGUAUAGAUAUGUAUAAACAAGUCACUUUGCUGUGCUGCAGAAAUUAACACAACAUUGUAAAUCAACUAUAAUCAAUUAAAAAAAGGAA